RNAcentral lists this ribosomal RNA (839 nucleotides) under uncultured archaeon. RNAcentral describes it as "bacterial SSU rRNA". It matches the Rfam family "Archaeal small subunit ribosomal RNA", at positions 44 to 889 of the family's 1478-position model. The record is from RNAcentral.
GNUAGCCAUGCGAGUCGAGAGGGUUCGGCCCUCGGCUGACGGCUCAGUAACACGUGNGANAAUCUACCCUAAGGUGGAGGAUAACCUCGGGAAACUGAGAAUAAUACUCCAUAGGUCUAGGAUGCUGGAAUGCACUUAGGCUGAAAACUUCGGUGCCCUAGGAUGAGUCUGCGGACUAUCAGGUUGUAGUCAGGGUAAAGACCUGACUAGCCUACGACGGAUACGGGUUGUGAGAGCAAUAACCCGGAGAUGAUAUCUGAGACACGAUAUCAGGCCCUACGGGGCGCAGCAGGCGCGAAAACUUUACAAUGCGCGAAAGCGCGAUGAGGGGAUCCCAAGUGCUUGCACGUAAGUGUAAGCUGUUUUUCUGUCUAAAAAGCAGAGAGAGUAAGGGCUGGGUAAGACGGGUGCCAGCCGCCGCGGUAAUACCUGCAGCUCAAGUGGUGGCCGCUAUUAUUGGGCCUAAAACGUCCGUAGCCGGCUGAGUAAAUGCCUGGGUAAAUCGUGUGGCUUAACCAUACGAAUUCCGGGUAGACUGCUCAGCUUGGGACCGGAAGAAGUUAGAGGUACUCCUGGGGUAGGGGUGAAAUCCUGUAAUCCUGGGGGGACCACCAGUGGCGAAGGCGUCUAACUAGGACGGGUCUGACGGUGAGGGACGAAGCCCUGGGGCGCAAACCGGAUUAGAUACCCGGGUAGUCCAGGGUGUAAACGCUGCUUGCUUGAUGUUAGCUGGGCUCCGAGCUCGGCUAGUGUCGGAGAGAAGUUGUUAAGCAAGCUGCCUGGGAAGUACGGUCGCAAGACUGAAACUUAAAGGAAUUGGCGGGGGGAGCACAAGGGCG